AACGAACGCUGGCGGCAUGCCUAACACAUGCAAGUCGAACGAGACCUUCGGGUCUAGUGGCGCACGGGUGCGUAACGCGUGGGAACCUUCCCUUAGGUUCGGAAUAACUCUCCGAAAGGGGUGCUAAUACCGGAUAAUGUCUUCUGACCAAAGAUUUAUCGCCCUUGGAUGGGCCCGCGUUGGAUUAGCUAGUUGGUAGGGUAAAAGCCUACCAGGGCGAGGAUCAAUAGCUGGUCUGAGAGGAUGAUCAGCCACUCUGGGACUGAGACACGGCCCAGACUCCUACGGGAGGCAGCAGUGCGGAAUAUUGGAAAAUGGGCGAAAGCAUGAUCCAGCACUGCCGGGAGAGCGAUGAAGGCCUUAGGGUUGUAAAGCUCUUUUACCCGGGAUGAUAAUGGCAGUACCGGAAGAAUAAGCUCCGGCUAACUCCGUG
RNAcentral lists this ribosomal RNA (433 nucleotides) under uncultured bacterium. Its description in RNAcentral is "partial 16S ribosomal RNA". It matches the Rfam family "Bacterial small subunit ribosomal RNA", at positions 29 to 507 of the family's 1533-position model. The record is from RNAcentral.